GGAAGGUCUGGUUAUGCAAAGAAACUGGACCUUGUCCUCCAGAGGCUUAUAGCCUAGCAGGGAAGUCCUUCUCCAGGUCGCUUAUCUGGGAAGAGGGUCUGGGCAAAUGUUAUAACUUCUACACAGCAGAAGGCUGUCUUAAAGCCUGUUUUCAUUUGUCAAAUAAAUAUCUCACUGAAUGAGCUGUAUUAGCAACCUAGGCAGCAUAAAAGGUUGGAGAGGUGUGUGUGUGUGUGUGUGUGUGUGUGUGUGUGUGUGUGUGUGUGUGUGUGUGUGUACACCUGCCUGUGCAUGCUGGGGGAGGGGAAGAUAACAUAGUUGAAUCACAAUGGCAUGUGUGACAGACAGCAUGCAGAAAGGACUGAGUUCAAUGCAAUGGGCUAUGUACAAAGGAUGCCUCUUGAUGGCUCCAUGGCCACCUCAAACACAGGUUUCUUCAGGUGACAAAAUGACAUGGAGAUUCAGUUCCCAGUCCCUAUACCUCCAGGUUAGCAGAAUUGGAGAUGAGUAUGUCAGUGUGAUCUUUAGGGAACUUGGCUCUCCCAGCUGUCCCCAUCCGUGGAACUUUUGGAUCACUGCAUGUGAGAGAAGGAACUCACGCAGGACCUAGAGCUGCUUACCAUAUAACAGCUGUCCUGAUGUCUGCUGUGUCCCCGCCUGUGACCCAUCCUGAUGGACUCAAUUCACAGAUGCUCCUGGGACCUCGUUAAUGUCAGUCACCGUGGAGAAAGGUGCCAUGCAUGUGACAGUUUCUCUGCCUCCACUUCAUUCCCCUUGGUCCUGUGAAAAUAAUUACUGCCUCCCUUAAUAAAAUGAAACCCAGUGUCUGCAA
This is a long non-coding RNA of Mastomys coucha (southern multimammate mouse), 832 nucleotides long. RefSeq lists it as uncharacterized. Lineage: Eukaryota; Metazoa; Chordata; Mammalia; Rodentia; Muridae. The transcript has 2 exons. The record is from RefSeq and is a predicted model, not a curated record.